RNAcentral lists this transfer RNA (101 nucleotides) under Pseudodonghicola xiamenensis. RNAcentral describes it as "tRNA-Cys". Lineage: Bacteria; Pseudomonadati; Pseudomonadota; Alphaproteobacteria; Rhodobacterales; Paracoccaceae. The record is from RNAcentral.
CGAUGAUCGGCGCGCAUCGGCUGGCGCGGGCGCUGCCGCAGGCCGAGCUGAUCGUGGUGCCCGAUGCCGGGCAUGCCGGUUCCGAGCCCGGGAUCAUCGAC